UCCGGUUUGUCACCGGCAGUCACCUUAGAGUGCCCAACUGAAUGCUGGCAACUAAGAUCAAGGGUUGCGCUCGUUGCGGGACUUAACCCAACAUCUCACGACACGAGCUGACGACAACCAUGCAGCACCUGUGCACGGGCUCCGAAGAGGGCUCGCCGUUUCUGGCAAGUUUCCCGUGUAUAUCAAGCCUAGGUAAGGUUCUUCGCGUUGCGUCGAAUUAAACCACAUGCUCCGCCGCUUGUGCGGGCCCCUGUCAAUUCCUUUGAGUUUUAGCCUUGCGGCCGUACUCCCCAGGCGGGGCGCUUAAUGCGUUAGCUGCGGCACAGAGAACCGGAGAGGUCCCCCACACCUAGCGCCCAACGUUUACAGCGUGGACUAC
This 379-nucleotide unclassified non-coding RNA is filed under the name uncultured bacterium. RNAcentral describes it as "contains 16S-23S intergenic spacer region". The record is from RNAcentral.